This 386-nucleotide ribosomal RNA is filed under the name Candidatus Pelagibacter sp. Its description in RNAcentral is "bacterial SSU rRNA". It matches the Rfam family "Bacterial small subunit ribosomal RNA", at positions 1137 to 1533 of the family's 1533-position model. The record is from RNAcentral. Lineage: Bacteria; Pseudomonadati; Pseudomonadota; Alphaproteobacteria; Candidatus Pelagibacterales; Candidatus Pelagibacteraceae.
ACUCUGAAAGAACUGCCAGUGAUAAGCUGGAGGAAGGUGGGGAUGACGUCAAGUCCUCAUGGCCCUUACGUGUUGGGCUACACACGUGCUACAAUGGUAUCUACAACAGGAAGCAAGACUGCGAGGUCAAGCAAAUCCUUAAAAGAUACCUCAGUUCGGAUUGCACUCUGCAACUCGAGUGCAUGAAGCUGGAAUUACUAGUAAUCGUGGAUCAGCGUGCCACGGUGAAUGCGUUCCCGGGUCUUGUACACACCGCCCGUCACACCAUGGGAGUUGGUUCUACCUUAAGGCAAGGCUUUAAACCCUUGACCACGGUAUAGUCAGCGACUGGGGUGAAGUCGUAACAAGGUAGCCGUAGGGGAACCUGCGGCUGGAUUACCUCCUUU